GCUCUGGCAUAUACAAAAAACCUCUUCUAAACCUCUCUGACGUCUCAGCUACAAAACCUCCAACUCAAUAAUACAGAGACACUGAGAAUGGAAACGAAAGUGUUCAUCUGUGUUCUGUGUGCCUGUUUGGUAACACUCUUAGUGCAUAAGACAUCACCAGCCCUAAUAAAUGAAGGCAUAUUUCUAUUAUACAAACCCUCUCAGCAAGGUCCUGAAGAUCCUGUUAAUGGAAGUAAUUACGAGCAGAUGACUAACCAUACCUUAAAUACAAAUACAACCCAAGAAAGUAUUCUGGAAAAGACCAUUGCGCCGAACCUUGCAGAGAACGAUGGGAAACAAAACUACACACAAGUCUCAAACACAACUCAAGGGUUACAAAAUCCCGAAGACAACUAAUGAUAAAAGACAAAAAAAGAACUGGAAAACAACCUGUUAAACAGUCAACCCUGAUGAAAUGGCAUGCUUUAAUGUUUGUUGAACAAAUUACCUUUGUAUUGUACACUGU
This is a long non-coding RNA of Sinocyclocheilus grahami, 505 nucleotides long. RefSeq lists it as uncharacterized. The record is from RefSeq and is a predicted model, not a curated record. NCBI's taxonomy places the organism in Eukaryota, Metazoa, Chordata, Actinopteri, Cypriniformes, Cyprinidae. The transcript is spliced from 6 exons.